Molecule: ribosomal RNA, 492 nt
Filed under: uncultured bacterium
Lineage: Bacteria
Description: partial 16S ribosomal RNA
Rfam family: Bacterial small subunit ribosomal RNA
Source: RNAcentral
AGUGAACGCUGGCGGUAGGCCUAACACAUGCAAGUCGAACGGCAGCACAGUAAGAGCUUGCUCUUACGGGUGGCGAGUGGCGGACGGGUGAGGAAUACAUCGGAAUCUACUUUUUCGUGGGGGAUAACGUAGGGAAACUUACGCUAAUACCGCAUACGACCUACGGGUGAAAGCAGGGGAUCUUCGGACCUUGCGCGAUUGAAUGAGCCGAUGUCGGAUUAGCUAGUUGGCGGGGUAAAGGCCCGCCAAGGCGACGAUCCGUAGCUGGUCUGAGAGGAUGAUAAGCCACACUGGAACUGAGACAAGGUCCAGACUCCUACGGGAGGCAGCAGUGGGGAAUAUUGGACAAUGGGCGCAGGCCUGAUCCAGCCAUACCGCGUGGGUGAAGAAGGCCUUCGGGUUGUAAAGCCCUUUUGUUGGGAAAGAAAAGCAGCAGGUUAAUACCCCGCUGUUCUGACGGUACCCAAAGAAUAAGCACCGGCUAACUUCGUG